GGGUAGUUUGACUGGGGCGGUCUCCUCCUAAAGAGUAACGGAGGAGCACGAAGGUCAGCUAAUCCUGGUCGGACAUCAGGAGGUUAGUGCAAUGGCAUAAGCUGGCUUGACUGCGAGCGUGACGGCGCGAGCAGGUGCGAAAGCAGGUCAUAGUGAUCCGGUGGUUCUGAAUGGAAGGGCCAUCGCUCAACGGAUAAAAGGUACUCCGGGGAUAACAGGCUGAUACCGCCCAAGAGUUCAUAUCGACGGCGGUGUUUGGCACCUCGAUGUCGGCUCAUCACAUCCUGGGGCUGAAGUAGGUCCCAAGGGUAUGGCUGUUCGCCAUUUAAAGUGGUACGCGAGCUGGGUUUAGAACGUCGUGAGACAGUUCGGUCCCUAUCUGCCGUGGGCGCUGGAGAAUUGAGGGGGGCUGCUCCUAGUACGAGAGGACCGGAGUGGACGCAUCACUGGUGUUCGGGUUGUCAUGCCAAUGGCAUUGCCCGGUAGCUAAAUGCGGAAGAGAUAAGUGCUGAAAGCAUCUAAGCACGAAACUUGCC
RNAcentral lists this ribosomal RNA (536 nucleotides) under Klebsiella oxytoca. RNAcentral describes it as "partial 23S ribosomal RNA". It matches the Rfam family "Bacterial large subunit ribosomal RNA", at positions 2263 to 2798 of the family's 2925-position model. The record is from RNAcentral. Lineage: Bacteria; Pseudomonadati; Pseudomonadota; Gammaproteobacteria; Enterobacterales; Enterobacteriaceae. RNAcentral also lists the same sequence under 1 other name.